GGAGGACCUUUGGGAUCGAAAGACCUUGUGCCUUUAGAGCGGCCGCCUCCUGAUUAGCUAGUUGGUAAGGUAAAGGCUUACCAAGGCAACGAUCAUUAGCUGGUCUGAGAGGACGACCAGCCACACUGGGACUGAGACACGGCCCAGACUCCUACGGGAGGCAGCAGUGGGGAAUUUUGGACAAUGGGCGCAAGCCUGAUCCAGCCAUGCCGCGUGAGUGAAGAAGGCCUUCGGGUUGUAAAGCUCUUUCGGUCGGGAAGAAAUAGUUGUGGCUAAUAUCUUUUUUUAAUGACGGUACCGACAUAAGGAGCACCGGCUAACUACGUGCCAGCAGCCGCGGUAAUACGUAGGGUGCAAGCGUUAAUCGGAAUUAUUGGGCGUAAAGGGUGCGCAGGCGGAUGUAUAAGUCAGAUGUGAAAUCCCCGGGCUUAACCUGGGAAUUGCGUUUGAAACUACAAAGCUAGAAGGG
This 469-nucleotide ribosomal RNA is filed under the name uncultured beta proteobacterium. RNAcentral describes it as "bacterial SSU rRNA". It matches the Rfam family "Bacterial small subunit ribosomal RNA", at positions 186 to 649 of the family's 1533-position model. The record is from RNAcentral. Lineage: Bacteria; Pseudomonadati; Pseudomonadota; Betaproteobacteria.